This 1372-nucleotide ribosomal RNA is filed under the name uncultured bacterium. Its description in RNAcentral is "bacterial SSU rRNA". It matches the Rfam family "Bacterial small subunit ribosomal RNA", at positions 28 to 1381 of the family's 1533-position model. The record is from RNAcentral.
GAUGAACGCUGGCGGCGUGCCUAAUACAUGCAAGUCGAGCGAACGGACGAGAAGCUUGCUUCUCUGAUGUUAGCGGCGGACGGGUGAGUAACACGUGGAUAACCUACCUAUAAGACUGGGAUAACUUCGGGAAACCGGAGCUAAUACCGGAUAAUAUUUUGAACCGCAUGGUUCAAAAGUGAAAGACGGUCUUGCUGUCACUUAUAGAUGGAUCCGCGCUGCAUUAGCUAGUUGGUAAGGUAACGGCUUACCAAGGCAACGAUGCAUAGCCGACCUGAGAGGGUGAUCGGCCACACUGGAACUGAGACACGGUCCAGACUCCUACGGGAGGCAGCAGUAGGGAAUCUUCCGCAAUGGGCGAAAGCCUGACGGAGCAACGCCGCGUGAGUGAUGAAGGUCUUCGGAUCGUAAAACUCUGUUAUUAGGGAAGAACAUAUGUGUAAGUAACUGUGCACAUCUUGACGGUACCUAAUCAGAAAGCCACGGCUAACUACGUGCCAGCAGCCGCGGUAAUACGUAGGUGGCAAGCGUUAUCCGGAAUUAUUGGGCGUAAAGCGCGCGUAGGCGGUUUUUUAAGUCUGAUGUGAAAGCCCACGGCUCAACCGUGGAGGGUCAUUGGAAACUGGAAAACUUGAGUGCAGAAGAGGAGAGUGGAAUUCCAUGUGUAGCGGUGAAAUGCGCAGAGAUAUGGAGGAACACCAGUGGCGAAGGCGACUUUCUGGUCUGUAACUGACGCUGAUGUGCGAAAGCGUGGGGAUCAAACAGGAUUAGAUACCCUGGUAGUCCACGCCGUAAACGAUGAGUGCUAAGUGUUAGGGGGUUUCCGCCCCUUAGUGCUGCAGCUAACGCAUUAAGCACUCCGCCUGGGGAGUACGACCGCAAGGUUGAAACUCAAAGGAAUUGACGGGGACCCGCACAAGCGGUGGAGCAUGUGGUUUAAUUCGAAGCAACGCGAAGAACCUUACCAAAUCUUGACAUCCUUUGACAACUCUAGAGAUAGAGCCUUCCCCUUCGGGGGACAAAGUGACAGGUGGUGCAUGGUUGUCGUCAGCUCGUGUCGUGAGAUGUUGGGUUAAGUCCCGCAACGAGCGCAACCCUUAAGCUUAGUUGCCAUCAUUAAGUUGGGCACUCUAAGUUGACUGCCGGUGACAAACCGGAGGAAGGUGGGGAUGACGUCAAAUCAUCAUGCCCCUUAUGAUUUGGGCUACACACGUGCUACAAUGGACAAUACAAAGGGCAGCGAAACCGCGAGGUCAAGCAAAUCCCAUAAAGUUGUUCUCAGUUCGGAUUGUAGUCUGCAACUCGACUACAUGAAGCUGGAAUCGCUAGUAAUCGUAGAUCAGCAUGCUACGGUGAAUACGUUCCCGGGUCU